This 320-nucleotide ribosomal RNA is filed under the name uncultured eukaryote. RNAcentral's name for it is "partial 18S ribosomal RNA". It matches the Rfam family "Eukaryotic small subunit ribosomal RNA", at positions 1470 to 1796 of the family's 1831-position model. The record is from RNAcentral.
CCCCUAGAUGUUCUGGGCCGCACGCGCGCUACACUGAACAGUUCAACAAGUCUUAACCCUGGCCGAUAGGUCUGGGUAAUCUUUGAACGCUGUUCGUGAUUGGGAUAGACCUUUGCAAUUAUGGGUCUUCAACGAGGAAUUCCUAGUAAACGCAAGUCAUCAGCUUGCAUUGAUUACGUCCCUGCCCUUUGUACACACCGCCCGUCGCACCUACCGAUUGAAUGGUCCGGUGAAAUCUCGGGACGGCGGCUUGGUCGCUUGCGUCCGACUGCUGAAACUUGAUUAAACCAUAUCAUUUAGAGGAAGGUGAANUCGUANCA